UCCAAUUUCAUGCUUGGAUCGAAAACAUGAUCGGGAUGGUUGUACCCGAACAGCAUUUUACAGGUGCAAAAGAAAAAUCGAUAGUAUUCUUGUGCACAAGAUAUUACUAGGGGAAAUGUUUUACAGGUAAAAAAGAAUGCGAUAUUGCCAAACAGGGCCUUGGGCUGGUAUCGCCUUGCUCUAAAAAUGUUCAGCUAGGGGCAUCCACAACGGGUCGUUAAGGUGUGUCAAUAGCAGUCCAUGUCGGAGAGAGGAGAGGAGAGAGAGAAAACGUCGCUAGACGUAGCGACUCUCGCUAGCACGCAAAUCCACGCCGCGGGUCCCACGAACGCAGAUUCCACCCGUGCCGAGCGGGAGGGAGGCGGAGCCCGGCCUCGCAUGAUCCGAUGCAGGCUGCCUCCGGCGAUGGCGGGUGGAGCACGGCCGCAGCGGUGCCGCCACGGGCUGGGGGGACGGAGCUUGGCCGCCGCCGCCGAGCAGCCGGGUGGAGACGAGCUGCGCCGGUCGCCGUCUUUUUAGCACUGGCCCGACCGGUGCCGAGACCACCACGACGGUGGAGGUCGGCUGGGUGACGACGAUGGGGAGGGGAAGCCAGCGCAUGGAUGGCGAGGAGGUGGAGACGGCAACGGCGGAUGCGGCCAAGGUAGAGCGGGCAUGGCCGUCGGUCAUGCGCGGAGACGAGCAUGGCCGCCGGUGCGGGCGGGG
Molecule: long non-coding RNA, 705 nt
Filed under: Setaria italica (foxtail millet)
Lineage: Eukaryota; Viridiplantae; Streptophyta; Magnoliopsida; Poales; Poaceae
Description: long non-coding RNA (SITA_LNC000533)
Source: RNAcentral